RNAcentral lists this ribosomal RNA (512 nucleotides) under Scylla olivacea (orange mud crab). RNAcentral describes it as "partial 16S ribosomal RNA". It matches the Rfam family "Bacterial large subunit ribosomal RNA", at positions 1852 to 2610 of the family's 2925-position model. Lineage: Eukaryota; Metazoa; Arthropoda; Malacostraca; Decapoda; Portunidae. The record is from RNAcentral.
GUCUAGCCUGCUCACUGACAAAGAUGUUAAAUAGCCGCGGUAUUUUGACCGUGCAAAGGUAGCAUAAUCAUUAGUUUUUUAAUUGGAAACUUGUAUGAAUGGUUGGACAAAGAAAAAGCUGUCUCUUUUAUUAAAAUUGAAAUUAACUUCUAAGUGAAAAGGCUUAGAUUUUCUAGAGGGACGAUAAGACCCUAUAAAGCUUUAUAAAUUAAGUAAGUUAGAACAAAUUUUAUAGAAUAAAGGUAAAUUUAAUAUAUUUAUUUGGUUGGGGCGACAAUGGUAUAAAUUAAAUAACUGCUAUUAAAAUUAAACAAUUAUAUUUGAUUAAAAUUUAAUUGAUCCUUAUUAUGGAUUAAAAGAUCAAGUUACUUUAGGGAUAACAGCGUAAUUUCUUUUAAGAGUUCUUAUCAAAGAAGAAGUUUGCGACCUCGAUGUUGAAUUAAAAUGUCUUUAUAGUGCAGAAGCUAUAAAAGAAGGUCUGUUCGACCUUUAAUUUUUUACAUGAUUUGAGU